RNAcentral lists this ribosomal RNA (492 nucleotides) under uncultured bacterium. Its description in RNAcentral is "partial 16S ribosomal RNA". It matches the Rfam family "Bacterial small subunit ribosomal RNA", at positions 29 to 507 of the family's 1533-position model. The record is from RNAcentral.
AGUGAACGCUGGCGGUAGGCCUAACACAUGCAAGUCGAACGGCAGCACAGUAAGAGCUUGCUCAUACGGGUGGCGAGUGGCGGACGGGUGAGGUAUACAUCGGAAUCUACUUUUUCGUGGGGGCUAACGCAGGGAAACUUACGCUAAUACCGCAUAUGACCUCCGGGGGAAAGCAGGGGAUCUUCGGACCUUGCGCGAUUGAAUGAGCCGAUGUCGGAUUAGCUAGAUGGCGGGGUAGAGGCCUACCAAGGCGACAAUCCGUAGGUGGUCCGAGCGGGAGAUCACACACCUUGGAACUGAGACACGGCCCAGACUCCGACGGUAGGCAGCAGUGGGGACUAUUGCACGAUCGGCGCAUGCCUGAUCCAGCCCUACCGCCUGAGUGAAGAAGCACUUCUGCUUGUAAAGUCCUUUUGUUGGGAAGGAAGAGCAGCACGUUAAUCCCCCGCUGUUCUGACGGUACCCAAAGAAUAAGCACCGGCUAACUUCGUG